CCUACGGGGGGCAGCAGUGGGGAAUAUUGCACAAUGGGGGAAACCCUGAUGCAGCGACGCCGCGUGAGUGAAGAAGUAUUUCGGUAUGUAAAGCUCUAUCAGCAGGGAAGAAGAAAGACGGUACCUGACUAAGAAGCCCCGGCUAACUACGUGCCAGCAGCCGCGGUAAUACGUAGGGGGCAAGCGUUAUCCGGAUUUACUGGGUGUAAAGGGAGCGUAGACGGCUGUGCAAGUCUGAAGUGAAAGCCCAGGGCUCAACCCUGGGACUGCUCUGGAAACUGUAUGGCUUGAGUGCAGGAGGGGUAAGCGGAAUUCCUGGUGUAGCGGUGAAAUGCGUAGAUAUCAGGAGGAACACCGGUGGCGAAGGCGGCUUACUGGACUGUAACUGACGUUGAGGCUCGAAAGCGUGGGGAGCAAACAGGAUUAGAUACCCCGGUAGUC
Molecule: ribosomal RNA, 441 nt
Filed under: uncultured bacterium
Lineage: Bacteria
Description: partial 16S ribosomal RNA
Rfam family: Bacterial small subunit ribosomal RNA
Source: RNAcentral